GCCGAGAUAGCUCAGUUGGUAGAGCAGAGGACUGAAAAUCCUCGUGUCACC
Molecule: transfer RNA, 51 nt
Filed under: Schultesianthus megalandrus
Lineage: Eukaryota; Viridiplantae; Streptophyta; Magnoliopsida; Solanales; Solanaceae
Description: partial tRNA-Phe
Rfam family: tRNA
About the family: Transfer RNA (tRNA) molecules are approximately 80 nucleotides in length. Their secondary structure includes four short double-helical elements and three loops (D, anti-codon, and T loops). Further hydrogen bonds mediate the characteristic L-shaped molecular structure. tRNAs have two regions of fundamental functional importance: the anti-codon, which is responsible for specific mRNA codon recognition, and the 3' end, to which the tRNAs corresponding amino acid is attached (by aminoacyl-tRNA synthetases). tRNAs cope with the degeneracy of the genetic code in two manners: having more than one tRNA (with a specific anti-codon) for a particular amino acid; and 'wobble' base-pairing, i.e. permitting non-standard base-pairing at the 3rd anti-codon position.
Source: RNAcentral